RNAcentral lists this ribosomal RNA (159 nucleotides) under Acacia saligna. RNAcentral describes it as "5.8S ribosomal RNA". It matches the Rfam family "5.8S ribosomal RNA". From Rfam's summary of the family: 5.8S ribosomal RNA (5.8S rRNA) is a component of the large subunit of the eukaryotic ribosome. It is transcribed by RNA polymerase I as part of the 45S precursor that also contains 18S and 28S rRNA. The record is from RNAcentral. Lineage: Eukaryota; Viridiplantae; Streptophyta; Magnoliopsida; Fabales; Fabaceae.
CGACUCUCGGCAACGGAUAUCUCUGCUCUCGCAUCGAGGAAGAACGUAGCGAAAUGCGAUACUUGGUGUGAAUUGCAGAAUCCCGUGAACCAUCGAGUCUUUGAACGCAAGUUGCGCCUGAAGCCGUCAGGCCGGGGGCACGUUUGCCUGGGUGUCACG